CCUACGGGAGGCUGCAGUGGGGAAUAUUGGACAAUGGGGGCAACCCUGAUCCAGCCAUGCCGCGUGUGUGAAGAAGGCCCUCGGGUUGUAAAGCACUUUCAGUGAGGAAGAACGCCUGGUGGUUAAUACCCAUCAGGAAAGACAUCACUCACAGAAGAAGCACCGGCUAACUCCGUGCCAGCAGCCGCGGUAAUACGGAGGGUGCGAGCGUUAAUCGGAAUUACUGGGCGUAAAGCGCGCGUAGGUGGCUUGAUAAGCCGGUUGUGAAAGCCCCGGGCUCAACCUGGGAACGGCAUCCGGAACUGUCAAGCUAGAGUGCAGGAGAGGAAGGUAGAAUUCCCGGUGUAGCGGUGAAAUGCGUAGAGAUCGGGAGGAAUACCAGUGGCGAAGGCGGCCUUCCGGACUGACACUGACACUGAGGUGCGAAAGCGUGGGUAGCAAACAGGAUUAGAUACCCCAGUAGUC
Molecule: ribosomal RNA, 465 nt
Filed under: Vreelandella stevensii
Lineage: Bacteria; Pseudomonadati; Pseudomonadota; Gammaproteobacteria; Oceanospirillales; Halomonadaceae
Description: partial 16S ribosomal RNA
Rfam family: Bacterial small subunit ribosomal RNA
Source: RNAcentral